Molecule: long non-coding RNA, 1340 nt
Filed under: Phocoena sinus (vaquita)
Lineage: Eukaryota; Metazoa; Chordata; Mammalia; Artiodactyla; Phocoenidae
Description: lncRNA (ENSPSNG00000014375.1)
Source: RNAcentral
GCCUGCCGUCAGUCCCCCCGGUCCCCGGUCCCCUGGCUCACGGGCAUGGCGCGCGCGGCGGGGCGCGAGCGGCGGCUCCUGGCCAUCUACACCGGAUAGGCACCCAUCGGCAUGCGGAGCGAGCGCGGCGGGUCCAGGCUGCAGGGACAAGGUGGACUCUGACCUGGAUCCCACCUGCACUGCGUCUUGUCCCCUCACAGCCCCCCACCUCCCCGGGGCCCCUUAGGCUCACUCUCCCAGGCGCUGCAUUUUCCAGAGAGGAUGUAAACUCCCACGUCUGGAAGGUGACCUGGAGACUGACUCUAGAAAGACGGGGUGUGGUGGGAGCGCCUUUCAGACAGGCAGGAGUCAUCCACGAGACCUCAGGACAGCACCCCAGGCUGGGGACGGAGCCAGAUGGAUGGAGGAGCCAGGCCUGGGCCCGGUGGGCCGCCGUGCUCUGCCGGCCUCUGCCCUCUCUGAGCCCAGCUGGGGGCUGGGGGGACGCAGACACUCCAGGCCCUUCCUGCCCGGGGAAUUCUGAUCCGGAGGGCGGAGGGCAUCAAUGAUUAACUUGCCUGGCACUGCUGAUAUGGGCUCCGGCCCACGAGGGGGUGGUGAGGGGCGGCCACAGCAAAGCUGUUUGGAUUGUCGCUGUUGGGAGCCCUUCUGCACCUGCUGGUAAACAGUGGCCUGCAGGGCACUCGGCGCCCCACACGUGAGCUCUGCCAAAGGUCAGGAUGGUGACGGGAGGGCAGAGGCCGUGGCAGCUAGGGACGCCCGUCACCCAUCCCCUCUCUGAGUUUGGGGAAGAUGUCACUGGUCAAGGGACAUCGUGAAUCCCAAAUCAGCCGAUCACCCCAAGCCCAAGACCGAGCUGCGUCACGGCUGAGGAGCCCUGACGCCCUGAGCGUCCCUCGUGGGCCUGGCUCCUGGCGGGCGUAGCAGGGUGAGUAGAGCCUCGGAGCCUGGCAGCUGAAGGCGCCAGGACAUCCCAGGAGGCCACCGGAGGGCCUGGCAGCCAAGCCGCAUCCGGAGGGGUGAUGUCCAUGGCUUCUUGCGCCCUUGGCCUAGACCCCCUUCCUGAGCGAGUUGCCACACGUUCACGAGUUCACUGUUUUAUAGCCUGAGCUGUGCUGGGACGGCCCUUACAGAUGAGUGGGUCUCGUGAGCCGCUGCCAGUGACAGCUCCCGGCCUGCACGGCCUGGGGACAAGGCCUGGGCAGGGCGGCUUCUGCUUCUGUAGGGCCUGAAGCUUGGGGGCCCGUGCUAAGAAAGAGACUACCAUUUACAAAAUCGGAAUUAGAUGAGAAAGCAGGUGUUUGUUGUUUGUUUGUUUCGUUGUUGUUAGUUUUUUCGGC